CGAAUCCCGGGGGCAACUCCGGGGGAAGUGGCGAAAGGGGCAGUAAGGCAUGGCUAACCUACCCCGGGGACGGGGAUAGCCUUCCUAACGGAAGGGUAAUACCCGGCGAUGCGGCGCGAGGGCCUCCUCGUGCCGUGAAACGAGUUUCGCCUCGGGAGGGGGUCAUGUGCUAUUAGCUUGUUGGCGGGGUAACGGCCCACCAAGGCGGAGAUGGCUAGCGGGUGUGAGAGCACGACCCGCGCCACUGGCACUGAGACACUGGCCAGACUCCUACGGGAGGCUGCAGUCGAGGAUCUUCGGCAAUGGGCGCAAGCCUGACCGAGCGACGCCGCGUGUGCGAUGAAGGCCUUCGGGUUGUAAAGCACUGUCGAGGGGGAGGAAAGCCCGCGAGGGCCUGACCUAUCCCUGGAGGAAGCACGGGCUAAGUUCGUGCCAGCAGCCGCGGUAAGACGAACCGUGCGAACGUUGUUCGGAUUCACUGGGCUUAAAGGGCGCGUAGGCGGCUUGCCAAGUCAGGGGUGAAAUCUUUCGGCUCAACCGGGAAACGGCUUCUGAUACUGGC
RNAcentral lists this ribosomal RNA (562 nucleotides) under uncultured bacterium. RNAcentral describes it as "bacterial SSU rRNA". It matches the Rfam family "Bacterial small subunit ribosomal RNA", at positions 67 to 637 of the family's 1533-position model. The record is from RNAcentral.